GGCGGUGUAGCUCAGUGGCAGAGCAGAGGAUUCAUAAGCCUCAGGUCGUAGGUUCAAAUCCUACCGCCGCUA
Molecule: transfer RNA, 72 nt
Filed under: Endomicrobium sp.
Lineage: Bacteria; Pseudomonadati; Elusimicrobiota; Endomicrobiia; Endomicrobiales; Endomicrobiaceae
Description: tRNA-Met
Rfam family: tRNA
About the family: Transfer RNA (tRNA) molecules are approximately 80 nucleotides in length.
Source: RNAcentral